GGGGCUUUGGCGCAGUUGGUAGCGCGUUUCCAUGGCAUGGAAAAGGUCAGGGGUUCGAAUCCCCUAAGCUCCAC
This 74-nucleotide transfer RNA is filed under the name Glycomyces rutgersensis. Its description in RNAcentral is "tRNA-Ala". It matches the Rfam family "tRNA". Rfam says of the family: Transfer RNA (tRNA) molecules are approximately 80 nucleotides in length. Their secondary structure includes four short double-helical elements and three loops (D, anti-codon, and T loops). The record is from RNAcentral. Lineage: Bacteria; Bacillati; Actinomycetota; Actinomycetes; Glycomycetales; Glycomycetaceae. RNAcentral also lists the same sequence under 3 other names.